RNAcentral lists this ribosomal RNA (1137 nucleotides) under uncultured bacterium. Its description in RNAcentral is "bacterial SSU rRNA". It matches the Rfam family "Bacterial small subunit ribosomal RNA", at positions 407 to 1533 of the family's 1533-position model. The record is from RNAcentral.
GAUGAAGGGUUUCGGCUCGUAAAAUUUUGUUGUUGGAGAAGAACGGGUGUCAGAGUAACUGUUGACAUCGUGACGGUAUCCAACCAGAAAGCCACGGCUAACUACGUGCCAGCAGCCGCGGUAAUACGUAGGUGGCAAGCGUUGUCCGGAUUUAUUGGGCGUAAAGCGAGCGCAGGCGGUUUUUUAGGUCUGAUGUGAAAGCCUUCGGCUUAACCGGAGAAGUGCAUCGGAAACCGGGAGACUUGAGUGCGGAAGAGGACAGUGGAACUCCAUGUGUAGCGGUGAAAUGCGUAGAUAUAUGGAAGAACACCAGUGGCGAAGGCGGCUGUCUGGUCUGCAACUGACGCUGAGGCUCAAAAGCAUGGGUAGCGAACAGGAUUAGAUACCCUGGUAGUCCAUGCCGUAAACGAUGAGUGCUAAGUGUUGGAGGGUUUCCGCCCUUCAGUGCUGCAGCUAACGCAUUAAGCACUCCGCCUGGGGAGUACGAUCGCAAGAUUGAAACUCAAAGGAAUUGACGGGGGCCCGCACAAGCGGUGGAGCAUGUGGUUUAAUUCGAAGCAACGCGAAAAACCUUACCAGGUCUUGACAUCUUUUGCCAGGUUGAGAGAUCAGCUGUUCCCUUCGGGGACAAAAUGACAGGUGGUGCAUGGUUGUCGUCAGCUCGUGUCGUGAGAUGUUGGGUUAAGUCCCGCAACGAGCGCAACCCUUAUUGUCAGUUGCCAGCAUUUAGUUGGGCACUCUGAUAAGACUGCCGGUGACAAACCGGAGGAAGGUGGGGAUGACGUCAAAUCAUCAUGCCCCUUAUGACCUGGGCUACACACGUGCUACAAUGGGCGGUACAACGAGUCGCGAGACCGCGAGGUCAAGCCAAUCUCUUAAAACCGCUCUCAGUUCGGAUUGCAGGCUGCAACCCGCCUGCAUGAAGUCGGAAUCGCUAGUAAUCGCGGAUCAGCAUGCCGCGGUGAAUACGUUCCCGGGCCUUGUACACACCGCCCGUCACACCAUGAGAGUUUGUAACACCCAAAGCCGGUGGGGUAACCGCAAGGGACCAGCCGUCUAAGGUGGGACAGAUGAUUGGGGUGAAGUCGUAACAAGGUAGCCGUAGGAGAACCUGCGGCUGGAUCACCUCCUUUCUAA